RNAcentral lists this ribosomal RNA (327 nucleotides) under uncultured eukaryote. Its description in RNAcentral is "partial 18S ribosomal RNA". It matches the Rfam family "Eukaryotic small subunit ribosomal RNA", at positions 1470 to 1796 of the family's 1831-position model. The record is from RNAcentral.
CCCUUAGAUGUUCUGGGCUGCACGCGCGCUACACUGAUGUGUUCAUCGGGUUCGACCUUGCCCGGGAGGGUUGGGUAAUCCUUUCAAAACACAUCGUGAUGGGGAUAGAUUAUUGCAAUUAUUAAUCUUCAACGAGGAAUUCCUAGUAAGCGCAAGUCAUCAGCUUGCGUUGAUUACGUCCCUGCCCUUUGUACACACCGCCCGUCGCUCCUACCGAUUGAAUGGUCCGGUGAAGCGUUCGGACCGUGGCCUUUGGACGGUUCGCCGUCUGUUGGCUGCGGGAAGUUCGUUAAACCUUAUCAUUUAGAGGAAGGAGAAGUCGUAACA